UGCACUCAUUGUAAGUCGCUUUGGAUAAAAGCGUCAGCUAAAUGACAUGUA
This is a regulatory RNA element of Gasterosteus aculeatus (three-spined stickleback), 51 nucleotides long. It matches the Rfam family "UnaL2 LINE 3' element". From Rfam's summary of the family: The eel long interspersed element (LINE) UnaL2 and its partner short interspersed element (SINE) share a conserved 3' tail containing a stem-loop that is critical for their retrotransposition. Presumably, the first step of retrotransposition is the recognition of their 3' tails by UnaL2-encoded reverse transcriptase. NCBI's taxonomy places the organism in Eukaryota, Metazoa, Chordata, Actinopteri, Perciformes, Gasterosteidae. The record is from Rfam.